UUAUUUACCCAUGGUAAAUCCCAUUAUACAAGUUUGUAAAACUUACAAGUUUACACCAAUGGGUAAUUUUCCAUAUAUAUCACAUCAGUUUAAGACUUAGCUUGACCGUGUAACACGGUUUAAAAGGAAAAGAAAGUUGUAGCUAAUAUUGCCAUAUUACAGUCCAAGUUUUUGGAAACAUAUGUCAAAUGUCUCUCUCAGAAGUCUCAUCCUCUUCUUCUCCAUUGAGAAUUCAGAUGGUUUCAAAGUCUGUCUCAGAAAAACUUCUGUCGAAAUUCUCAGAUGUUUCGGAAUUCGACUUUGAUUAUUCGCAGAGCGGUCUGUGGUCUCCUCCCAUCCAAAGAAGUGUGUUCUUGAGCUCUCCAGGGAAGAUUCUCUCUCAUGCACAAAUGGCUGCCAAGUUAACCAAACUCUUGAACAGACAUCAGAGAAGAAGAAGAAGAAGACCACAUUGCUUCCAUGGGGUUUUGCAAGCGUGUUUGUGUUCUCCGAAGAGAUUUCAAGGAGGCAGAAGCUAGCAUUAUUGCAGGAAAGGAUCAAACCUUUUUUUUUUUUUUUUUUUUUUGUCUUUUUAAUAGAAAUGCAGACAAAUAGUAUAGCUGCUGACCUGCAUAUUCUUUUGAUUUUUAUUUUAAUAAUUAAUAUUUUUCUUAAAUGUAACUUCUGCAGUA
Long non-coding RNA from Ipomoea nil (Japanese morning glory), 671 nucleotides. RefSeq lists it as uncharacterized. The record is from RefSeq and is a predicted model, not a curated record. The transcript has 2 exons. NCBI's taxonomy places the organism in Eukaryota, Viridiplantae, Streptophyta, Magnoliopsida, Solanales, Convolvulaceae.